UGCCAGCUCCUACGGGAGGCAGCAGUGAGGAAUAUUGGUCAAUGGGCGGGAGCCUGAACCAGCCAAGCCGCGUGAAGGAAGAAGGCGCCAGGCGUCGUAAACUUCUUUUGUCGGGGAACAAAGGGCGCCACGCGUGGCGUUGUGAGUGUACCCGAAGAAAAAGCAUCGGCUAACUCCGUGCCAGCAGCCGCGGUAAUACGGAGGAUGCGAGCGUUAUCCGGAUUUAUUGGGUUUAAAGGGUGCGUAGGCGGUCCGGAAAGUCAGGGGUAAGAGCCCGGGGCUAACCCCCGGCGAGCCGUUGAAACUGUCGGACUAGAGACGGCGAGAAGUACGCGGAAUGCGCGGUGUAGCGGUGAAAUGCAUAGAUAUCGCGCAGAACUCCGAUUGCGAAGGCAGCGUACCGGCGCCGGACUGACGCUGAGGCACGAAAGCGUGGGUAUCGAACAGGAUUAGAUACCCGAGUA
RNAcentral lists this ribosomal RNA (464 nucleotides) under uncultured bacterium. RNAcentral's name for it is "bacterial SSU rRNA". It matches the Rfam family "Bacterial small subunit ribosomal RNA", at positions 330 to 792 of the family's 1533-position model. The record is from RNAcentral.